CGGGACACGUGGUAUCCUGUCUGAAUAUGGGGGGACCAUCCUCCAAGGCUAAAUACUCCUGACUGACCGAUAGUGAACCAGUACCGUGAGGGAAAGGCGAAAAGAACCCCGGCGAGGGGAGUGAAAAAGAACCUGAAACCGUGUACGUACAAGCAGUGGGAGCACGCUUAGGCGUGUGACUGCGUACCUUUUGUAUAAUGGGUCAGCGACUUAUAUUCUGUAGCAAGGUUAACCGAAUAGGGGAGCCGAAGGGAAACCGAGUCUUAACUGGGCGUUAAGUUGCAGGGUAUAGACCCGAAACCCGGUGAUCUAGCCAUGGGCAGGUUGAAGGUUGGGUAACACUAACUGGAGGACCGAACCGACUAAUGUUGAAAAAUUAGCGGAUGACUUGUGGCUGGGGGUGAAAGGCCAAUCAAACCGGGAGAUAGCUGGUUCUCCCCGAAAGCUAUUUAGGUAGCGCCUCGUGAAUUCAUCUCCGGGGGUAGAGCACUGUUUCGGCAAGGGGGUCAUCCCGACUUACCAACCCGAUGCAAACUGCGAAUACCGGAGAAUGUUAUCACGGGAGACACACGGCGGGUGCUAACGUCCGUCGUGAAGAGGGAAACAACCCAGACCGCCAGCUAAGGUCCCAAAGUCAUGGUUAAGUGGGAAACGAUGUGGGAAGGCCCAGACAGCCAGGAUGUUGGCUUAGAAGCAGCCAUCAUUUAAAGAAAGCGUAAUAGCUCACUGGUCGAGUCGGCCUGCGCGGAAGAUGUAACGGGGCUAAACCAU
RNAcentral lists this ribosomal RNA (771 nucleotides) under Escherichia coli. Its description in RNAcentral is "partial 23S ribosomal RNA". It matches the Rfam family "Bacterial large subunit ribosomal RNA", at positions 418 to 1190 of the family's 2925-position model. The record is from RNAcentral. RNAcentral also lists the same sequence under 1 other name. Lineage: Bacteria; Pseudomonadati; Pseudomonadota; Gammaproteobacteria; Enterobacterales; Enterobacteriaceae.